CAGGCAAGCAUACUGGAGUGGGUUUCCGUGCCCUCCUCCAGGGGAUAUUCCUGACCCAGGGAUUGAACCCGUGUCUCAUACAUCUGCAUUGGCACUACAUCCAGUAGUGGGUUCUUUACCACUAGCGUCACCCGGAAGCCUUUGGCUCACUACUGGGGCUCAAAUAUUUAUCACCCUUUCAUCAAGCUGAGAAGCAAGAGGUGAUCACUAGUGAAUGGGAGAUUAGGAAUGAGGAUAUAAGGUGAGAAAGAGCAGAAACCUCUGAGACGCAAGUGUGCUUGGAUUUCUAAAACUGUGCUGGCCACCUGCUCUGUCCUGGAGCAAAGUUGAGUUAGGCUGAUCGGGUGGUUGGAGGGGGAUAGAUCAAGGGCCUGCCCAGACCAAGCCCCUCCCCCUACAACUGCCAGAAUGGACCAGCCCAUGUGACAUCACAAUUCUAAGGGGUUGCCAAGUCACUGCUAGAGACAGACCCUCAUUUCUCCCCAGGGAGCUCUAGGAUGUGGAUGUGAGACAGGUGAGCAAGGAAGGCAGAUGGCGACAAGGAACAGCUCUAGCCCCAAGCCGAUGGGCACGGCUCAGGGGGACCCGGGAGAGGCAGGCACACUGCCAGGUCCUGAUGCUGGCAUCCGGGACACAAGUUCAGCCACUCAGCUGAAGAUGAAGCCCAAGAAGGUGCGCAAGAUCAAGGCACUCAUCAUUGACCUGGGCUCCCAAUACUGCAAGUGUGGCUACGCGGGUGAGCCAAGGCCCACCUACUUCAUCUCCUCCACGGUGGGCAAGCGCUACUCGGAGGCGGCUGACUCCGGUGACACCCGCAAGGAGACCUACGUGGGCCAUGAGCUGCUCAACAUGGAGGCGCCUCUGAAGCUGAUCAACCCGCUCAAAUAUGGCAUCGUGGUGGACUGGGACUGCAUCCAGAGCAUCUGGGAGUACAUCUUCCACACGGCCAUGAAGAUCCUCCCCGAGGAGCACGCUGUGCUGGUCUCUGACCCCCCGCUCAGCCCCACGAGCAACCGGGAGAAGUAUGCGGAGCUGCUGUUCGAGACCUUCGGCAUCCCUGCCAUGCACGUGACGUCCCAGUCGCUGCUGUCCAUCUACUCCUAUGGCAAGACCUCCGGGCUGGUGGUGGAGAGCGGGCACGGUGUCUCACAUGUGGUGCCCAUCUCUGAGGGCGACGUGCUGCCAGGCCUGACUAGUCGAGCCGACUACGCGGGCAGCGACCUCACCAACUAUCUGCUGCAGCUGCUCAACGAGGCCGGCCACAAGUUCACUGACGACCACCUGCACAUCAUCGAGCACAUCAAGAAGAAGUGCUGCUACUCGGCCCUCAAGCCCGAGGAGGAGCUCAGCCUGUGCCUGGAGGACCUGCGCGUGGACUACGAGCUCCCAGAUGGCAAGCUCAUCAGCAUCGGCCAGGAGCGCUUCCAGUGCGCCGAGAUGCUCUUCAAGCCCACCCUGGUAGGCAGCAACCAGCCCGGCCUCCCCGCGCUCACCGCCGCCUGCCUGAACCGCUGCCAGGAGGCGGGCUUCAGGGAGGAGAUGGCCGCCAACGUGCUGCUGUGCGGAGGCUGCACCAUGCUGGAUGGCUUCCCCGAGCGCUUCCAGAGGGAGCUGAGCCUCCUCUGUCCCGGGGACAGCCCUGCAGUGGCCGCGGCUCCCGAGAGGAAGACCUCCGUGUGGACCGGCGGCUCCAUCCUGGCAUCCCUGCAGGCCUUCCAGCAGCUCUGGUUCUGGAGGUUGGAAGUCCAAGAGCCAGGUGCCAGCAUGGCAGGCUUCCGGUGAAAAACUUCUUGCAGGUUGCAGACCCCUGACAUCCAGCUACAUUCUCACUUAGUGGAUGGGAUGAGAGGCGUCUCUGGGGCCUCUGCUGUUGAGGCACUAAUCCCAUCCAUGAAGGCCUUACCCUCCCAAAGGUCUCCCUCCCCUAAAGCAUGACUUGGGGCAUUAUGUUUUCAACAUAGGAAUUUGGGGGUUGGGGACUGGGAGGGUGGAAGCAAACAUUUAAACUACAGCAAUGAUUCUUAACGGUUAGCAACCUUUAAGCACUUAACCAAGCAUCUACUGUGGGUGAGACCCAGACUGGAGACAGAAAUGACCAGUGUGGCCCUUUCCUCAGGAUCACACACAGCUACUGGGGGCAGCCACGUUGAUAAGGAAACAAGGCCUGAGCUCGGUGUUCCUGGGGGUGGGAAGGUGGAGGUGUGGGUAUUGAAAAGCUGCAAAUGGAGAAAGAAGUGCUGGGUGUGGUGACCACUUGGUAGCUUUGGGGCUGAAGGAGAAGACAUCAAGACUUGCAAAAGACUUCAGCUGGUGAAUGACUGUCUGCCUAGAAGAGGGUAGUUCCUGCCCCUUCUCCUUCCCUCACCUCCAGAUGGGGGCGCAUGACUGGGGGCCUGUGAGCAGAGUCAGUGAAAUCAGCCAUUGGUGAGCUGUGGAAUCUGAUGGGCCAUCAAGUAUCCCUGAGCCACUUCUUACCUUAGAAAAAGAGUCCUGAUUUGGGGGCAUUCUGUGAGGCUACCUUUGUCCCUGGUCCUAUGCUAGGGACUGCAGUUUGGGGAAAGAACCAGACAUGGUCUUUAUCACCUAAUGCCCUGGCAUCUGGGCCUUCCCUGUUGCCUAGAAUUGGGUUUGUAGCCUGGAGUUGGAGUUCCUCUGGGACUGACAGGGCUUUGGUACUAUUCAGGGCUCUUGCCUGUGGAGAGAGCUUCAGACUGGAGGCUGAUUGUGCCAGUCGACACAGUUUAUUUGGCCUAACAGUGAAAAUAAUUUUUUUCUGGAGUGUGAAUUCUUUCAGUGGGACCUAUAUUCUUAUGUUGCCAAAGUCUCUACCUCUCUGAUGUCUUCAUACAUACCUGCUGCUUCAACAUAACUUUUGCUUUAUUGGCCAGCAUUCAUUUCUGUGGCUUGCAACCCAAGAACCUUGGCUCAAUAUUUCUUCUAAAAGCCUGAUGAGAUACAGAGAGGAAAGUGGAAGCUUAUAGAGGGGAAUGUAGUGUACCCCAAAUCACACAGGCAGUAAGUUAGUGCUGCAUGUAAAUGUUCUUCCACAUGCUGGUCUUGACAAUCGCUGAAAACAGUGUCUGUGUCUACCGCCCCACCUCCACAAUCUGUUCUUCCUCCAUUCUCAACAACCUCUGUCUCCACAGUCACAGAUUCAGUGCUGUGAGGUGAGGACCUCCUGUUCAUCUCCUCUAAAAACAUCGCUGUGGCAGGUGCUAUAAAAACAUGAAUCACUUAAGAGACUCUGAUAUGAACUUACUUAAGCCAACCACAGGCAUGACAGAUUUAAUUUUUAUAGAAAAAUAUGGGUCAACACAUUUCAGCUUAGGUGACCGACCAUGUGUGUUUAUCUCCUCUUCCACCUUAGCUUCAUUGAGGUGAUAGUAGAGAAAUAUAGUUGUAUAACCCACUACAAAUGAGGAUGGUAGAGGGACUGCAGGGAGCCCAAGAUCUGUACUUGAUUCUGGGAGGAGGAGAAUGGAUGCAGGGCAGAAAGGCUGCAGUCUGAAAUGUGCAGGUGCUCCCCACAGGGGAAGGCAACUUCCUGACCUGAAGGAUGAGAAGAGGUUUGAGACUUGGAAAUGCCAAGUUAGGGGAGGAAGUAUGCGUGACAGUCAGGUUAGGGGAGGAGAUGGUAACUAGUGGUCUUUAUUUGAGAGCACAGCUCCCCUCUCUCCCUCUGCAUAGGUAGAGGGGUGAGCCUGUAAGCGAUGUUUUGCAGACAAAAAAAUUGAAGAGUUCUCUAUGCGAUAGCAGUGCUAAUACAGGGAAGAGGAGGAGAGGACUGUAUGAAGAGCAGGUCGUGAACCUCACUUGUAGCCCGUUGUGGCCCCCCUAAAGCACGAGUCACACUCAGGUCUUGCUAACAUCCACCAGGUGGAACCAAUAGUUGAUGCCCUCCAUUUCCCCCCUCAUCUCUUACCUACAAUUCCCAGUUUCUAUAUGGGCAUCAGAUGUGACCCGGGGCUGACUCCCGACUCCAGCACCCAAAGCAGAGCAUAUGACCUAGGUUAAGCCAAUCAGACCAGCCCAUCUACCUGGCCAUGGUGGUUGGCUGGGUGUGAGCAUGUGACCUCAGCUGUCCAUCUGUCUGCGUCCCCACCCCACAGGGUGAGACACAGACCUUUUGCUUGGAAGGUUGACUUGAAAUUGGAGCAUAUGUGCUGCUGUGGCAAAAUUUAUUACCUUCCAGAAGGAAGCCAGCUUGAACCUGACCCACCAAGGAGUGUGGAACUCAGAGAAUCUCAGAGAAAGGGCUGGCUGUCCUGAAGCAAAGUGACCUCCUAGUGAAACCAUGCCCAGAGCACCCUCUGCCGUCAGGCCAUCAGACUGUUUCCACCAGCAUUCAUCCUCAUCCCUCAGGUGAGGACCCUGAAGCUUGGAGAGGUUAAGAAUCCUGCUCAACUUUACUCACCUGAGAGGAGGAAGAGCAAGAGGCUCAUAGAUAUAAAUAACACCCCUGGUGUAGAAGUAUAAGUAGAUUUUGUUCCAGCAAAACUCUAUUAACUGGCCAUGGUUUUGCCCAACAGCACUGGAUGUCAAGUUGUUUGGGUUUAAAGGUAAGCCCUUACUUUCACUUCUAAGACACACCAACAAAUAAAAGUCCUAUAAGGGGAAUUUUGGUCACAUUAUCUGAGUAAUAGUCUGAAUCCUUCACUUCAUUUGCCAGUGUAGAUGAAGCUAGGUGUAAGAGAAGAAAACACAAAAACAGCUGAGAAUAAGAAAGCAUCUGAUUCCCAAAUGAUUUAUUCCUAGCAUGAAUCCAGAAGAGAGGCUGCCUGGAGUAAGAACAAGCUAGGACUUGUGGCAAGUGUUAAAUUCCUCUCAAAGCCCUUGUUUGAUUAUAAAAGUAUUGAUAGUUAAAAAUGCAUUAAGUGUCAAAAAGGUAAUUCCAGCAUCAGAUUGCCACACAAUGAAAACCAAGGUAGUGGAGAAGGAAGUUCUCACCUUUUUAUGUGCUUCUGUUAUAAACUAAAUUCUAGAAAUUAAAAACAGAACAUUUGUAGGAAAAAAAAGUCCAAGGGGGUUCAAUUUCAAAUAGAUCAGAGAACUGAGACAAUUAUGUGUUAAAAAGCUGUCCACAUAUACAGCUGAAAAUAUCUUGGUCACUGGCAUGCAUUUUGGAUUAAGACAAUUACUUUAUUGACCAACUGUAUGUGUAUAAAUUGAGACCAAGUAAUUCAAGGUCUUCUACCUUCCAGAUGGAGUUGGAACAAGGGGUCAGCCUCAAUGUUGGCCACCUGGCAACAUUUUUCUAGUGAUCUAAGAAUUUGGAGCUUUGCAUGAGCUGACCACCAUCCUUUCUCCUCUGAAUGAUGUUUUACCAUCCAUUGUAAUCUCUGGUUGUGUGUUCAGAUUCCCAAGUAAAUCAGAUCCCUAAAGUUUUAACUCAAUGAAUUGGCAGCAACUCACAGGGUGAAUUUUAAGUAAUUGGGGAAGAGGAAGGUAAAGACAUGAGGAUAUUUUUGCAGCUUGUUCCUUUUCCUUCUGAAACCAAGAAGCAACUUUCUACUCACUCAGGUCUUGGGAGAAGUGGCUGGAUUCAGUCCUAACUUGUGGAUGUCUAAGACAUGAAGAAGUUGGACAUGGAAUUUUACCAUUUUUGGCCUUAUUUUCCUAAACUGAUGAAAUAGUAAUAAGAAACAUAAUAUGGAAAACAAUUUUUGGGGGCAGUUUCAGGGGAUCUUGGCAUUGGGCCGGGUCACUGGGCAUUGUGGUUUCUGAAGGGGCACCUACCAGAACAGUGUCUGCUCCUGUCUCCAAUGGGUCUUUUCCCUCUGCUCUUUUUUCUACCCUCUUUUAGCUAUCAAGGAAAACCUGGAUUUUCUCACUGUCUCAGUUCCUUUGUCAUGCUGUUUCUUAGCAAUCAAUUAGUAGCUUUCAAUAUUUAAAACUCCUGAAAAAUCAGAUUAAAUAUAGGCCAAGUAUUUCCCUAUUGUUAAGUUAGAUAUGCUAAUGUUGGUAAUUGUUUGCAUCUUUCACAACAGUGCAGUUUUUCUUAGUUUCAAAGCACCUUUGCACCUCACCUGUGGCGUUUGAUCCUUGUAAGCAGCCUAGAAAACAGCAUGGGGGAGUGGGUGUUGAACAGUAUUCUCGUUUUGUUGAUGAGAACAAUAAGACUCCAAGAGACAUUGGAUUUAACGAUGGUGCACAAAACAGUAUCUGGUGCAUUGGCGGGGGGACAAAGCUUUCCAAAUGCAAAGCAUAGUGAAAGCUAACAUGGCAAGCGCUCACCAUUCACUGAGCACCUGACUUCAGUACAGUCGAGUGAGUGAGCGCCCACCU
Molecule: RNA transcript, 6285 nt
Organism: Bubalus bubalis (water buffalo)
Lineage: Eukaryota; Metazoa; Chordata; Mammalia; Artiodactyla; Bovidae
Gene: ACTL7B
Gene name: actin like 7B
Exons: 4
Source: RefSeq, a predicted model, not a curated record